Molecule: ribosomal RNA, 792 nt
Filed under: Micrococcus luteus
Lineage: Bacteria; Bacillati; Actinomycetota; Actinomycetes; Micrococcales; Micrococcaceae
Description: bacterial SSU rRNA
Rfam family: Bacterial small subunit ribosomal RNA
Source: RNAcentral
UUGCUGGGUGGAUUAGUGGCGAACGGGUGAGUAACACGUGAGUAACCUGCCCUUAACUCUGGGAUAAGCCUGGGAAACUGGGUCUAAUACCGGAUAGGAGCGCCUACCGCAUGGUGGGUGUUGGAAAGAUUUAUCGGUUUUGGAUGGACUCGCGGCCUAUCAGCUUGUUGGUGAGGUAAUGGCUCACCAAGGCGACGACGGGUAGCCGGCCUGAGAGGGUGACCGGCCACACUGGGACUGAGACACGGCCCAGACUCCUACGGGAGGCAGCAGUGGGGAAUAUUGCACAAUGGGCGAAAGCCUGAUGCAGCGACGCCGCGUGAGGGAUGACGGCCUUCGGGUUGUAAACCUCUUUCAGUAGGGAAGAAGCGAAAGUGACGGUACCUGCAGAAGAAGCACCGGCUAACUACGUGCCAGCAGCCGCGGUAAUACGUAGGGUGCGAGCGUUAUCCGGAAUUAUUGGGCGUAAAGAGCUCGUAGGCGGUUUGUCGCGUCUGUCGUGAAAGUCCGGGGCUUAACCCCGGAUCUGCGGUGGGUACGGGCAGACUAGAGUGCAGUAGGGGAGACUGGAAUUCCUGGUGUAGCGGUGGAAUGCGCAGAUAUCAGGAGGAACACCGAUGGCGAAGGCAGGUCUCUGGGCUGUAACUGACGCUGAGGAGCGAAAGCAUGGGGAGCGAACAGGAUUAGAUACCCUUGGUAGUCCAUGCCGUAAACGUUGGGCACUAGGUGUGGGGACCAUUCCACCGGUUUCCNGCGCCGCAGCUAACCGCAUUAAAGUGCCCCGGCCUGGGG